GUGAUAGCUCUUCUAGUUCGGAGUCAGAUGGAGGCCAUUACAUAGGAUCUAAUUGUGUUUGUUAAGCCAUUGUAUAAUACAAGAGUUUGCUUCUUGAGCUUACUAGUGUUCAGGCUCGAAGGAGAGGGAAGCGAGCUACAGAGUUGGAAAAAAGGUGGAAGAUAUCCUGGUUGAUCAAGAUAAGAAUGGACAGAAUACUCUGCUGAACUUUGUGGAGGAACCCAUAUAUCUAAUUUAAGAGAAGCCAAGGCAUUUGCUCUUUUAUCUUAGCAGGGGAUUGCCAAAGGAAUUCGUAGAGUGACUGUUGUUACGUCUGAGGUUGCGUUGAAUGCAAUUAAUUUGGCAUGCUCCCUCGAGCAACAAUUGAUUGAUGCAUCAAAGAUAGAUGCAAGCGUGCUGGAGAAAGUUAGUUUGGGAUAUUGUUCUUUUUUUUCUUCAACACUAGCAAUUUUAGCGAUUAUAGCUUGUAGAUGACUGACUUAUUAGUUUGG
Long non-coding RNA from Spinacia oleracea (spinach), 491 nucleotides. RefSeq lists it as uncharacterized. The transcript is spliced from 4 exons. Lineage: Eukaryota; Viridiplantae; Streptophyta; Magnoliopsida; Caryophyllales; Amaranthaceae. The record is from RefSeq and is a predicted model, not a curated record.